Molecule: ribosomal RNA, 500 nt
Filed under: uncultured bacterium
Lineage: Bacteria
Description: partial 16S ribosomal RNA
Rfam family: Bacterial small subunit ribosomal RNA
Source: RNAcentral
AUUGAACGCUGGCGGCAUGCCUUACACAUGCAAGUCGAACGGCAGCACGGGAGCAAUCCUGGUGGCGAGUGGCGAACGGGUGAGUAAUAUAUCGGAACGUGCCCAGUCGUGGGGGAUAACGCAGCGAAAGCUGUGCUAAUACCGCAUACGAUCUACGGAUGAAAGCGGGGGAUCGCAAGACCUUGCGCGAUUGGAGCGGCCGAUAUCAGAUUAGCUAGUUGGUGGGGUAAAAGUCCACCAAGGCGACGAUCUGUAGCUGGUCUGAGAGGACGACCAGCCACACUGGAACUGAGACACGGUCCAGACUCCUACGGGAGGCAGCAGUGGGGAAUUUUGGACAAUGGGCGCAAGCCUGAUCCAGCAAUGCCGCGUGCAGGAUGAAGGCCUUCGGGUUGUAAACUGCUUUUGUACGGAACGAAACGGCGAGCUCUAAUACAGUUUGCUAAUGACGGUACCGUAAGAAUAAGCACCGGCUAACUACGUGCCAGCAGCCGCGGUAA